This 959-nucleotide ribosomal RNA is filed under the name Frondihabitans australicus. Its description in RNAcentral is "bacterial SSU rRNA". It matches the Rfam family "Bacterial small subunit ribosomal RNA", at positions 480 to 1438 of the family's 1533-position model. The record is from RNAcentral. Lineage: Bacteria; Bacillati; Actinomycetota; Actinomycetes; Micrococcales; Microbacteriaceae.
UGCAGAAAAAGCACCGGCUAACUACGUGCCAGCAGCCGCGGUAAUACGUAGGGUGCAAGCGUUGUCCGGAAUUAUUGGGCGUAAAGAGCUCGUAGGCGGUUUGUCGCGUCUGCUGUGAAAUCUGGGGGCUCAACCCCCAGCCUGCAGUGGGUACGGGCAGACUAGAGUGCGGUAGGGGAGAUUGGAAUUCCUGGUGUAGCGGUGGAAUGCGCAGAUAUCAGGAGGAACACCGAUGGCGAAGGCAGAUCUCUGGGCCGUAACUGACGCUGAGGAGCGAAAGCAUGGGGAGCGAACAGGAUUAGAUACCCUGGUAGUCCAUGCCGUAAACGUUGGGAACUAGAUGUAGGGGCCAUUCCACGGUUUCUGUGUCGCAGCUAACGCAUUAAGUUCCCCGCCUGGGGAGUACGGCCGCAAGGCUAAAACUCAAAGGAAUUGACGGGGGCCCGCACAAGCGGCGGAGCAUGCGGAUUAAUUCGAUGCAACGCGAAGAACCUUACCAAGGCUUGACAUAUACCGGAAACGUCCAGAGAUGGUCGCCCCGCAAGGUCGGUAUACAGGUGGUGCAUGGUUGUCGUCAGCUCGUGUCGUGAGAUGUUGGGUUAAGUCCCGCAACGAGCGCAACCCUCGUUCUAUGUUGCCAGCACGUUAUGGUGGGAACUCAUAGGAGACUGCCGGGGUCAACUCGGAGGAAGGUGGGGAUGACGUCAAAUCAUCAUGCCCCUUAUGUCUUGGGCUUCACGCAUGCUACAAUGGCCGAUACAAAGGGCUGCAAUACCGCGAGGUGGAGCGAAUCCCAAAAAGUCGGUCUCAGUUCGGAUUGAGGUCUGCAACUCGACCUCAUGAAGUCGGAGUCGCUAGUAAUCGCAGAUCAGCAACGCUGCGGUGAAUACGUUCCCGGGCCUUGUACACACCGCCCGUCAAGUCAUGAAAGUCGGUAACACCCGAAGCCGGUGGCCCAA